ACUCAUCCCCACCGGAGAUCAGUCCAAUGAGGGUGGUGUCAUCCGCAAACUACAGGAGCUUGAUGGACUGGUGACUGGAGGCGCAGGUGUUGGUGUACAGGGAGAAGAGCAGAGUGGAGUGAACGCAGCCUCGGGGGGAACCGGUGCUGAGCUCCCAACUGGACAAGGACGUGUCAGUCAGCCAAAUAUCUGCCCUGCUCAAACACGGGACACACAGAUGAGGCCGUGUUGGGCUGGAGUUAAGGAGGUGAGUUUAGCAUGACAUGAAACUGAAAUGGCUUAUCUUUAAAAAUAAAAAUAUUUUGCCAGUAUUGAUAAUAGAAUAAUGUAGAAAUAAUAGAAUAGAAUUUGUGGAUUCAUGCCAGUGUUCUGAUUCUUUGUGUCACUGUUCUCCUAUAUUGUCCUGAUCUAUUCAUCCUUAAGUGGUGUCCAAUUUGCAGAUGUAUGUUUUGGUUUGAUUGUCAAAGCGGGAGUAAAAAAGUAUUAUGGAU
Gasterosteus aculeatus aculeatus (three-spined stickleback) is the source of this 491-nucleotide long non-coding RNA. NCBI's taxonomy places the organism in Eukaryota, Metazoa, Chordata, Actinopteri, Perciformes, Gasterosteidae. The record is from Ensembl.